RNAcentral lists this ribosomal RNA (402 nucleotides) under uncultured bacterium. Its description in RNAcentral is "bacterial SSU rRNA". It matches the Rfam family "Bacterial small subunit ribosomal RNA", at positions 355 to 774 of the family's 1533-position model. The record is from RNAcentral.
UGGAGAAUCUUGCACAAUGGGGGAAACCCUGAUGCAGCGACGCCGCGUGAACGAUGAAGCCCUUCGGGGUGUAAAGUUCUUUCGACAGGAACGAUAAUGACGGUACCUGGAGAAGAAGCUGCGGCUAACUACGUGCCAGCAGCCGCGGUAAUACGUAGGCAGCGAGCGUUGUUCGGAGUUACUGGGCGUAAAGAGUGCGUAGGCGGCGAGCCAAGUUUGGUGUGAAAUCUCCCGGCUUAACCGGGAGGGUGCGCCGAAAACUGGUUGGCUGGAGUAUGGGAGAGGAAAGCGGAAUUCCUGGUGUAGCGGUGAAAUGCGUAGAUAUCAGGAGGAACACCUGCGGUGUAGACAGCUUUCUGGACCAAAACUGACGCUGAGGCACGAAAGCGUGGGUAGCAAACA